Molecule: ribosomal RNA, 465 nt
Filed under: uncultured bacterium
Lineage: Bacteria
Description: partial 16S ribosomal RNA
Rfam family: Bacterial small subunit ribosomal RNA
Source: RNAcentral
CUACGGGGGGCACCAGUGAGGAAUUUUGCGCAAUGGGGGCAACCCUGACGCAGCAACGCCGCGUGAGUGAAGAAGGCCUUUGGGUCGUAAAGCUCUGUCAACAGGGAAGAAGUUACUAUGUAUUAAUAGUAUGUAGUAUUGACGGUACCUGCGGAGGAAGCAUCGGCUAACUCCGUGCCAGCAGCCGCGGUAAUACGGGGGAUGCAAGCGUUAUUCGGAAUCAUUGGGCGUAAAGGGCACGCAGGCGGCUCUGUCAGUCAGAUGUGAAAGCCCGGGGCUCAACCCCGGACGUGCAUUUGAAACAGCAGAGCUUGAGUACGGUAGAGGAGAGCGGAAUUCCUGGUGUAGAGGUGAAAUUCGUAGAUAUCAGGAGGAACACCGGUGGCGAAGGCGGCUUUCUGGACCGAAACUGACGCUGAGGUGCGAAGGCGUGGGUAGCGAACAGGAUUAGAUACCCUAGUAGUC